Molecule: ribosomal RNA, 243 nt
Filed under: uncultured bacterium
Lineage: Bacteria
Description: partial 16S ribosomal RNA
Rfam family: Bacterial small subunit ribosomal RNA
Source: RNAcentral
AGGUCCUACGGGACGCAGCAGUAGGGAAUCUUCCACAAUGGGCGAAAGCCUGAUGGAGCAACGCCGCGUGGGUGAAGAAGGUCUUCGAAUCGUAAAACCCUGUUGUUAGAGAAGAAAGUGCGUGAGAGUAACUGUUCACGUUUCGACGGUAUCUAACCAGAAAGCCACGGCUAACUACGUGCCAGCAGCCGCGGUAAUACGUAGGGGCCAAGCGUUAUCCGGAUUUAUUGGCCGUAAAGGGAA